RNAcentral lists this ribosomal RNA (251 nucleotides) under uncultured bacterium. RNAcentral describes it as "partial 16S ribosomal RNA". It matches the Rfam family "Bacterial small subunit ribosomal RNA", at positions 524 to 776 of the family's 1533-position model. The record is from RNAcentral.
UACGGAGGGUGCAAGCAUUAAUCGGAAUUACUGGGCGUAAGCGUGCGCAGGCGGUUUGUUAAGUCUGCUGUGAAAUCCCCGAGCUCAACUUGGGAAUUGCAGUGGAUACUGGCAAGCUGGAGUACGGUAGAGGAAGGUGGAAUCCCGGUGUAGCAGUGAAAUGCGUAGAGAUCGGGAGGAACACCAGUGGCGAAGGCGGCCUUCUGGACCAGUACUGACGCUCAUGCACGAAAGCGUGGGGAGCAAACAGG